GACGCCGCCGGUCCGCUGCCCUCGUCGCCGGAUCCACCACCCUCACCGCCAGCCAAUGCCGCCAGAUCCGCUGCCCUCACCGCCGGAUCCGCUGCCCUCGCCGCUCGCCGACGCCAUCGCCUUGCCCGUGUCGGCGAGAAGAGAGGAUAGGAGAGGAGAGGACAGAAAGAGAGAGAGGGAGAGAGAGGUGAUAAAAGAGGGAGAAAUAAAUGGGUGGUCGAAAAAUUUUAAA
This 232-nucleotide long non-coding RNA is filed under the name Oryza brachyantha (malo sina). RNAcentral's name for it is "long non-coding RNA (OBRA_LNC003169)". Lineage: Eukaryota; Viridiplantae; Streptophyta; Magnoliopsida; Poales; Poaceae. The record is from RNAcentral.